RNAcentral lists this ribosomal RNA (468 nucleotides) under uncultured bacterium. RNAcentral's name for it is "partial 16S ribosomal RNA". It matches the Rfam family "Bacterial small subunit ribosomal RNA", at positions 28 to 507 of the family's 1533-position model. The record is from RNAcentral.
GACGAACGCUGGCGGCGUGCUUAACACAUGCAAGUCGAACGGAAAGGCCCUGCUUUUGUGGGGUGCUCGAGUGGCGAACGGGUGAGUAACACGUGAGUAACCUGCCCUUGACUUUGGGAUAACUUCAGGAAACUGGGGCUAAUACCGGAUAGGAGCUCCUGCUGCAUGGUGGGGGUUGGAAAGUUUCGGCGGUUGGGGAUGGACUCGCGGCUUAUCAGCUUGUUGGUGGGGUAGUGGCUUACCAAGGCUUUGACGGGUAGCCGGCCUGGGAGGGUGACCGGCCACAUUGGGACUGAGAUACGGCCCAGACUCCUACGGGAGGCAGCAGUGGGGAAUAUUGCACAAUGGGCGGAAGCCUGAUGCAGCAACGCCGCGUUCGGGAUGACGGCCUUCGGGUUGUAAACCGCAUUCGCCUGUGACGAAGCGUGAGUGACGGUAAUGGGUAAAGAAGCACCGGCUAACUACGUG